This 440-nucleotide ribosomal RNA is filed under the name uncultured bacterium. RNAcentral describes it as "bacterial SSU rRNA". It matches the Rfam family "Bacterial small subunit ribosomal RNA", at positions 338 to 795 of the family's 1533-position model. The record is from RNAcentral.
CCUACGGGAGGCUGCAGUGGGGAAUAUUGGACAAUGGGGGCAACCCUGAUCCAGCCAUGCCGCGUGAGUGAUGAAGGCCUUCGGGUUGUAAAGCUCUUUCGCACGCGACGAUGAUGACGGUAGCGUGAGAAGAAGCCCCGGCUAACUUCGUGCCAGCAGCCGCGGUAAUACGAAGGGGGCUAGCGUUGUUCGGAAUUACUGGGCGUAAAGGGCGCGUAGGCGGCGCUUCAAGUCAGAUGUGAAAGCCCCGGGCUCAACCUGGGAAUAGCAUUUGAGACUGGAGUGCUUGAGUUCCGGAGAGGUGGGUGGAAUUCCCAGUGUAGAGGUGAAAUUCGUAGAUAUUGGGAAGAACACCGGUGGCGAAGGCGGCCCACUGGACGGAUACUGACGCUGAGGCGCGAAAGCGUGGGGAGCAAACAGGAUUAGAUACCCCUGUAGUC